UGCAGCCAUGCCGCGUGUGUGAAGAAGGCCUUCGGGUUGUAAAGCACUUUCAGCGAGGAGGAAAGGGUGUAAGUUAAUACCUUACAUCUGUGACGUUACUCGCAGAAGAAGCACCGGCUAACUCCGUGCCAGCAGCCGCGGUAAUACGGAGGGUGCGAGCGUUAAUCGGAAUUACUGGGCGUAAAGCGUGCGCAGGCGGUUUGUUAAGCGAGAUGUGAAAGCCCCGGGCUCAACCUGGGAACCGCAUUUCGAACUGGCAAACUAGAGUCUUGUAGAGGGGGGUAGAAUUCCAGGUGUAGCGGUGAAAUGCGUAGAGAUCUGGAGGAAUACCGGUGGCGAAGGCGGCCCCCUGGACAAAGACUGACGCUCAGGCACGAAAGCGUGGGGAGCAAACAGGAUUAGAUACCCUGGUAGUCCACGCCGUAAACGAUGUCUACUCGGAGUUUGGUGUCUUGAACACUGGGCUCUCAAGCUAACGCAUUAAGUAGACCGCCUGGGGAGU
Molecule: ribosomal RNA, 502 nt
Filed under: Shewanella algae
Lineage: Bacteria; Pseudomonadati; Pseudomonadota; Gammaproteobacteria; Alteromonadales; Shewanellaceae
Description: bacterial SSU rRNA
Rfam family: Bacterial small subunit ribosomal RNA
Source: RNAcentral